RNAcentral lists this ribosomal RNA (1104 nucleotides) under uncultured Lemonniera. RNAcentral describes it as "eukaryotic LSU rRNA". The stretch from base 476 to 1104 matches the Rfam family "Eukaryotic large subunit ribosomal RNA", at positions 1 to 649 of the family's 3401-position model. Lineage: Eukaryota; Fungi; Ascomycota. The record is from RNAcentral.
AAGGAUCAUUACAGAGUUCAUGCCCUCACGGGUAGAUCUCCCACCCUUGAAUAUUAUACCUUAGUUGCUUUGGCAGGCCGGGGCAACCCCCGGGGCUUCGGCCUUGGUGUGCCUGCCAGAGGAAACAAACUCUGUUUUUAGUGAUGUCUGAGUACUAUAUAAUAGUUAAAACUUUCAACAACGGAUCUCUUGGUUCUGGCAUCGAUGAAUAACGCAGCGAAAUGCGAUAAGUAAUGUGAAUUGCAGAAUUCAGUGAAUCAUCGAAUCUUUGAACGCACAUUGCGCCCCGUGGUAUUCCGCGGGGCAUGCCUGUUCGAGCGUCAUUUCAACCCAUCAAGCUUCGGCUUGGUCUUGGGGCCUGCGAUUCCGCAGCCUCUAAACCCAGUGGCGGUGCCUCCGAGCUCUGAGCGUAGUAAUUCUUCUCGCUAUAGGUUCUCGGUGGUGUCUUGCCAGUAACCCCCAAUUUUUUACAGGUUGACCUCGGAUCAGGUAGGGAUACCCGCUGAACUUAAGCAUAUCAAUAAGCGGAGGAAAAGAAACCAACAGGGAUUACCUCAGUAACGGCGAGUGAAGCGGUAACAGCUCAAAUUUGAAAUCUGCCGCAAGGCCGAGUUGUAAUUUGUAGAAGAUGCUUUGGGUAUGGCCCCGGUCUAAGUUCGUUGGAACACGACGUCAUAGAGGGUGAGAAUCCCGUAUGUGACUGGGUGCUUUUGCCUAUGUAAAGCUCUUUCGACGAGUCGAGUUGUUUGGGAAUGCAGCUCAAAAUGGGUGGUAUAUUUCAUCUAAAGCUAAAUAUUGGCCAGAGACCGAUAGCGCACAAGUAGAGUGAUCGAAAGAUGAAAAGCACUUUGGAAAGAGAGUUAAACAGUACGUGAAAUUGUUGAAAGGGAAGCGCUUGCAACCAGACUUGCACGCUGUUGAUCAUCCAGGCUUCUGUCUGGUGCACUCGGCAGCGUUCAGGCCAGCAUCGGUUCUGGUGGUGGGAUAAAGGCCUUGGGAAUGUAGCUUCUUUCGGGGAGUGUUAUAGCCCUCGGUGCAAUGCCGCCUAUCGGGACCGAGGACCGCGCUUCGGCUAGGAUGCUGGCGUAAUGGUUGUAAGCGACC